GCCGCGGUAGCUCAGUUCGGUAGAGCGACGGGCUGUUAACCCGUUGGUCGAAGGUUCGAGUCCUUCCCGCGGCGCCA
This 77-nucleotide transfer RNA is filed under the name Candidatus Methanomethylicus mesodigestus. RNAcentral describes it as "tRNA-Asn". It matches the Rfam family "tRNA". Rfam says of the family: Transfer RNA (tRNA) molecules are approximately 80 nucleotides in length. Their secondary structure includes four short double-helical elements and three loops (D, anti-codon, and T loops). The record is from RNAcentral. RNAcentral also lists the same sequence under 5 other names. Lineage: Archaea; Thermoproteati; Thermoproteota; Methanosuratincolia; Candidatus Methanomethylicales; Candidatus Methanomethylicaceae.